Molecule: ribosomal RNA, 480 nt
Filed under: uncultured bacterium
Lineage: Bacteria
Description: bacterial SSU rRNA
Rfam family: Bacterial small subunit ribosomal RNA
Source: RNAcentral
UUGAACGCUGGCGGCAUGCCUUACACAUGCAAGUCGAACGGUAACAGGUCUUCGGAUGCUGACGAGUGGCGAACGGGUGAGUAAUACAUCGGAACGUGCCCGAUCGUGGGGGAUAACGGAGCGAAAGCUUUGCUAAUACCGCAUACGAUCUACGGAUGAAAGCAGGGGACCGCAAGGCCUUGCGCGGACGGAGCGGCCGAUGGCAGAUUAGGUAGUUGGUGGGGUAAAGGCUCACCAAGGCGACGAUCCGUAGCGGGCCUGAGAGGACGACCCGCCACACUGGAACUGAGACACGGUCCAGACUCCUACGGGAGGCAGCAGUGGGGAAUUUUGGACAAUGGGGGCAACCCUGAUCCAGCCAUUCCGCGUGAGUGAAGAAGGCCUUCGGGUUGUAAAGCUCUUUCAGCAGGAGCGAAACGGUCGUUUUUAAUACAGACGGCUAAUGACGGUACCUGCAGAAGAAGCACCGGCUAACUACGU